AUCCUGUUAAGUCAGGCAACGAGCGAGACCCACGCCAACAGUUGCCAGCUCGUCCUCCGGGAGUGGUGGGGACGACUAGUUGGGACCGCCUCUGCUAAAGAGGAGGGAAGGAAUGGGCAACGGUAGGUCAGCAUGCCCCGAAUUAGUCUGGGCUACACGCGGGCUACAAUGGGUGGGACAAUGGGUAUCGACACCGAAAGGUGAAGGCAAUCUCCUAAACCCAUCCGUAGUUCGGAUUGUGGGCUGCAACUCGCCCACAUGAAGCUGGAAUCUGUAGUAAUCGUGUCUCAAAAAUGGCACGGUGAAUAUGUCCCUGCUCCUU
Molecule: ribosomal RNA, 322 nt
Filed under: uncultured Methanomicrobiales archaeon
Lineage: Archaea; Methanobacteriati; Methanobacteriota; Methanomicrobia; Methanomicrobiales
Description: bacterial SSU rRNA
Rfam family: Archaeal small subunit ribosomal RNA
Source: RNAcentral